Equus caballus (horse) is the source of this 2906-nucleotide long non-coding RNA. Lineage: Eukaryota; Metazoa; Chordata; Mammalia; Perissodactyla; Equidae. The record is from Ensembl.
CUAGCAAGUAAAAAGAGGCAAUUAGGGGUAGCAAGGACAAAUGAUAGCAAACAUCUGAUGCAAGAGAGAAGAUCAAAGAGCAUAAAAAGCAGAUAAGCGCACUGACUCCUUAAGCGAUGUACACAGGACAACCUGGCCUUCGUGAAUCCACAGGUCGUGAGGCAUCUCGGCAUUUCAUGAGAGCCCAGGCACAGAUGCACCUAUCAGUGGCCUUGGUACAUGGAGAUAGAUAAAGUAGACUCUGUCUAGUCUACGUAAAGAGGAAAGUUGAAUGAGCGGUAAAUUUUGAAGGACUUCUUUCUGAAGGAUUACACUUUCAAAAAGCUCUGAUACUUAAAUCAACAUUUGUUCUGGGUGAAAAACUCAGUACCUCAUAACUAUCACUUCCUGAGCUCUGUUCUAUGUCAUGAGCUGUAUACAUAUUCCUCUACCUCCAAGAGAAAGACCAUUAUUCUUACUAAAUUGAGAUUCAGAAAAGUUAAGACAUUUUCUGAAAGUCACACAUCUGGUGCCCGAUUGAUCCAAGACACAAACUCUUGACUUUCUGAUUCCAAAAUCCAUGUUGUGUCUUUAUGCCACACGGCUUUAUUUAUCCAAGAGUCACCUUUCUAAGGGUUACUAAAAUAAGGAAGCUUUUCUUUAUGUGUAUUUCAGAAAAUUAAUAGAAAAGGGUUUAAGUAUAUAACCCAGAGUUAUCAGCAUCUUGAUUUACAUAUUUGCCUCAGAGAAUAAUUAAAUAUCCAGGUUGCUACUGUGUUUAAUUUGUACCUACCAUAUGCCCUGGUGCCCUGUGGAGGGAUGCACGAAGAAGUCUUUCAGCUGACUGCUGAGUUCCCCAGAUUCAAACACUGCUGGGAGACUGGGGCAGGCUCACAACACAACUUCUGGAGGUCAGCCUGGCAGUGAAUGAGGGAGAAUAUCCUGUCUGAUCUCAACACAAAAAUGGAGGUUGCAUCACAUGGGCAUAUUUACUUGACAAAUGAAAAGACCCCAGAGCUUAGUUCCAGAAAAGCAGUUUCUAGAAAGAGCUGGUAUAGAAAGAAAGCUCUGAGUAAAGCCAGCAGCAUCCUCUGGAGGAGUGAGCAAGGCCAGAUCCCUGGAGGCCACACAUACCUUCAUCAACGUAUGCCCAGACAUACAUUUAUAAAGAGCAGGGCUAGAACUAAGAGGGAGCCAAAAACUCAGAAAUCAAGAUAAAUAACAUUUUAAUGCAAUACUAUAAAAAACAAAAGUUGAAGCAAGAAAGUUCAUGAUAAACAAAAUAUCAUAAGUUUAAAUAAAACAGGAUUAGUGUUACUGUUUUUUCCUUUUGCUUCAGGAUCCGAUACGGCUUGGCACGACACCAUCAGAGAGUUAACAUAAAUGUUUAAAAAAGAAAAGGGAGAAUGAGUACAUUGUUGUAGAAAGAUAGUGAUUUGGGAGAUCAUUUUAAGCUACAAGUUUCACUAGAUGGAGGAAACAAGAAUUACCUUCCUGGAGUCUUGUUAAGUCUGGGAGGGAACUGCAGCAUGAGAGAGUAACUCUCAACUUUAGCUCUGCUCAAAAUAUCCCCGGUGAGAGGCGUGGCCAAGGAAAGUAACCAAAAAGUACUAUUAAAUUGCAGAGCCCAUCAAUGCUGGGCUUGGCCAUGUGACUUACUUUGACCAGUGGAACAAGGGCAGGACAAAAGUGUGACAGUGCUGAGCCGAGACCUUAAGAGACAUCACAUAUCCACUCACUUUCCUUGUAAUUCUGUCAUUCCCAUGAAGAGAACAUUGCCAUGAAGAGACCAGUGACCUGCUGGUCCCAAAAGAAUGAGAGUCACAUGAACCCAACAUAAACUAAACCCAUGGCUUGAAGCCAAGCGCAGCCAACCAUGCUGGGAUCCUCAGGGAUGCCCAGCCAUCGUCAGAGAUGCAUGAGAAGACAAUGCUUAUUGUUGUGGGAUUUUUGUGAUUGUUUGUUACACAGCAAUAGCUGACUGGUACAUUGUCAAUAACCCAAAACAUUCAGUAGCUUCUUAAAUUUUUGCAUAGAUCAGUGAUUCUCAGUGUUGCAUGCACAAGAGAAUUGCCUUGAUAGUUUUUUAAAAAUAUGAGUGCCCAGGCCCCCACCUUAGGCUGCUUGUUUCAGAAUCUGUAGUGGUAGUUCUUGGGCAUGAGAUAUUUUUUCAAACUCCCUCAGGUAAUUUUAGAUGUGCAGCCAGGAUGAUAACAUUGUAGAUAAAGAUACAAAAACAUUUUCAUCAACAUGAAGAAAUACGUCUGCAUCUCCUUUUCUGUGGCUGAGCUAACCUUCUCCUCUAUUGGAGAAAAGCAGGCCUGGUGGGAAUCAAACAGUACCAAGGAUGGCCAUGAAGUGAGGUGACUAAUAUGCCUGGUGAGGUGUUAGAACUGGAAGGUUAUACUAGAAUUUAUAUGCUAUGAAAAUAUUGUGGGGAUAGCAAGUCUAAACAGGUUCAUCAAUAAAACAGAAUACAGAAUGGAAGUUAAAGUGAACAAUCAAACUAAGGAGGAGAAAAAGGUGGUUGAUGAAACAGAGAAAUCAAGAACGAGGGGUAGAAAAGCAAAAAUUGGUUAGAAGUUUGCUACGGGUUCCAAUAGCAUUGGAAUCACAUAGAAAAUGUAGAAUUUCAGGCCCCAUCCCAGAUCUCCUUAAUCAGAACCUGCAUUUUAAUGAGCUCUCCAGGCCAUCUGUAUGUAUAUUCAGGUUAGAGAUGCACUAGCUUAGAAGAUUCCAGAAAAUGAAGUGCAUGCACCUCUAGAUGAUAUUAAUAUUCUUCCACUGUGUGAUUGUAUGGCCAGCCCAGGUACACUUACAGGACCUGAGACAGGACAUAAAAUGGCAGGUGUGCAUACAUUCAAUUAAUCCACUAGCUUUUCCUAGUAUGUAAAUUUCACAUUUAAAAAAAUCAGAGUUAAGACACC